RNAcentral lists this ribosomal RNA (481 nucleotides) under uncultured bacterium. Its description in RNAcentral is "bacterial SSU rRNA". It matches the Rfam family "Bacterial small subunit ribosomal RNA", at positions 28 to 469 of the family's 1533-position model. The record is from RNAcentral.
GAUGAACGCUGGCGGCGUGCCUAAUACAUGCAAGUCGAACGCAUUGUGGUUGAAAUGAUAUGAAGAACUUGUUCAGAUUUGAUUUUCAACAUUGCAAUGAGUGGCGAACGGGUGAGUAACACGUGGGAAACCUACCUCUUAGCAGGGGAUAACAUUUGGAAACAAAUGCUAAUACCGUAUAAUAAUUAAAACCGCAUGGUUUUAGUUUAAAAGAUGGUCUUGCUAUCACUAAGAGAUGGUCCCGCGGUGUAUUAGUUAGUUGGUGAGGUAAUGGCUCACCAAGACAAUGAUACAUAGCCGAGUUGAGAGACUGACCGGCCACAAUGGGACUGAGACACGGCCCAUACUCCUACGGGAGGCAGCAGUAGGGAAUCUUCCACAAUGGACGAAAGUCUGAUGGAGCAACGCCGCGUGUGUGAUGAAGGGUUUCGGCUCGUAAAACACUAGUUGUAAGAGAAGAAUGACAUUGAGAGUAACUGUU